RNAcentral lists this ribosomal RNA (396 nucleotides) under Eucnemidae sp. UPOL 001229. RNAcentral's name for it is "partial 16S ribosomal RNA". Lineage: Eukaryota; Metazoa; Arthropoda; Insecta; Coleoptera; Eucnemidae. The record is from RNAcentral.
CAUGUCCUUAAGAUAAAAAUUUAAGGUUUAAUCUGUCCGGUGAUAAAUUAAACGACCGCAGUAUAUUGACUGUGCAAAGGUAGCGUGAUAAUUAGUUUCUUAAUUAGGAACUGGUAUGAAUGAUUGAACGAAAGAAUCUCUGUCUCUUAAGAUUUAUUUGAAUUUAAUUUUUAAGUUAAAAAUCUUAGAUUUUGUUAAAGGACGAGAAGACCCUAUAGAGUUUUAUUUUAUUUGAAUUAAUAAUUUUUUGGUAUUUUAAAAUUUUAAUUUAUAAUAAUUUUUGAUUGGGGAGAUUUAAAGAUUAAGCUAACUCUUUAUUUGAUUACAAAGAUUUUUGAAUAAUUGAUCCAUUUUGAUGAUUUAAAGAUUAAAUUACCUUAGGGAUAACAGCGUAAU